RNAcentral lists this ribosomal RNA (253 nucleotides) under uncultured bacterium. RNAcentral describes it as "partial 16S ribosomal RNA". It matches the Rfam family "Bacterial small subunit ribosomal RNA", at positions 524 to 776 of the family's 1533-position model. The record is from RNAcentral.
UACGGGGGGAGCAAGCGUUGUUCGGAAUUACUGGGCGUAAAGGGCGCGUAGGCGGCCUGUUAAGUCGAACGUGAAAUCCCUGGGCUCAACCCAGGAACUGCGUCCGAUACUGGCAGGCUUGAAUCCGGGAGAGGGAUGUGGAAUUCCAGGUGUAGCGGUGAAAUGCGCAGAUAUCAGGAGGAACACCGGUGGCGAAGGCGGGUCUCUGGGCCGAUACUGACGCUGAGGAGCGAAAGCGUGGGGAGCGAACAGG